Malassezia cuniculi is the source of this 101-nucleotide non-coding RNA. The record is from the annotation of a GenBank genome assembly. Lineage: Eukaryota; Fungi; Basidiomycota; Malasseziomycetes; Malasseziales; Malasseziaceae.
GGCAGGGUAGCAAAGUGGUUUAAUGCAGCGGCCUUAAGCGCCGGGUGUAUUACACCCUGACAGAGAUCCGCCAUUCGCGGGUUCGAAUCCCGCCCUUGCCA